This 645-nucleotide long non-coding RNA is filed under the name Homo sapiens (human). RNAcentral describes it as "HSALNT0214471". Lineage: Eukaryota; Metazoa; Chordata; Mammalia; Primates; Hominidae. The record is from RNAcentral.
AAGGCUUUUAAUAAAAUGAGUGGAGGGGGUAUUAUUUAGGUUCCAGAUAAAGGGUUUUAUUCCUGUGUUAUUAGGUAGGCUGUAAAAUGCUGUUAUUGAUGGUUAUUCGUUUACUCUGGUAUAUUUCUGAACACUAUUGGAAUACAUUUCUUCUUUUCCUGCUUGCUCCUAAGGUUAUGCCCCAUAUAACUAGACACUUCCAGUACUGGGUGGGAAAGCCCCCCCACCAAAAAUGGUUCAUAUGCCUCAAAUAACCUGUCAGUCCCCAAAAGGGAGCUGUCUGCUUAUGCAAUAUAGAGCAGAACUGUUAAGGAUGGAGACUUGACAAAGUUGUCAAAUCCCAGCUCCAACAUUUACUAGCUGGAUGACCUUGUGCAAGUUUCUUAACUUCUCUUUACCUGUUUCCUCUCCUAUAAAAGAGGGAUAUUAAUAUCUUUGCACAGCAGGGGUGGGGGAAAUAAAUACUAAGCAAUAUCCAAUAACUUGUGUAAAGUAUAUAUGAAGUGUUUCGUUUAAGGUUUAUUAUACAGUAUUCUUGUACUGCAUUAUUACUGUAUUGCAGCACUUAAGCUGAGGAAUAAAACUGUGUGACCCUACCACUAUUACAAUAGUGUAAGAUCUUUUCUUGGCAUGUGGAACACAGAA